GUAAGUAUAGCACAGUGGGUAAGGAACUGGGCUUGUAACCGAAAGGUCCCAGGUUCGAUUGCCGGGUUUGUUCG
RNAcentral lists this transfer RNA (74 nucleotides) under Anguilla anguilla (European eel). RNAcentral's name for it is "tRNA-OTHER". Lineage: Eukaryota; Metazoa; Chordata; Actinopteri; Anguilliformes; Anguillidae. The record is from RNAcentral.